Molecule: ribosomal RNA, 2904 nt
Filed under: Escherichia coli
Lineage: Bacteria; Pseudomonadati; Pseudomonadota; Gammaproteobacteria; Enterobacterales; Enterobacteriaceae
Description: 23S ribosomal RNA
Rfam family: Bacterial large subunit ribosomal RNA
Source: RNAcentral
GGUUAAGCGACUAAGCGUACACGGUGGAUGCCCUGGCAGUCAGAGGCGAUGAAGGACGUGCUAAUCUGCGAUAAGCGUCGGUAAGGUGAUAUGAACCGUUAUAACCGGCGAUUUCCGAAUGGGGAAACCCAGUGUGAUUCGUCACACUAUCAUUAACUGAAUCCAUAGGUUAAUGAGGCGAACCGGGGGAACUGAAACAUCUAAGUACCCCGAGGAAAAGAAAUCAACCGAGAUUCCCCCAGUAGCGGCGAGCGAACGGGGAGCAGCCCAGAGCCUGAAUCAGUGUGUGUGUUAGUGGAAGCGUCUGGAAAGGCGCGCGAUACAGGGUGACAGCCCCGUACACAAAAAUGCACAUGCUGUGAGCUCGAUGAGUAGGGCGGGACACGUGGUAUCCUGUCUGAAUAUGGGGGGACCAUCCUCCAAGGCUAAAUACUCCUGACUGACCGAUAGUGAACCAGUACCGUGAGGGAAAGGCGAAAAGAACCCCGGCGAGGGGAGUGAAAAAGAACCUGAAACCGUGUACGUACAAGCAGUGGGAGCACGCUUAGGCGUGUGACUGCGUACCUUUUGUAUAAUGGGUCAGCGACUUAUAUUCUGUAGCAAGGUUAACCGAAUAGGGGAGCCGAAGGGAAACCGAGUCUUAACUGGGCGUUAAGUUGCAGGGUAUAGACCCGAAACCCGGUGAUCUAGCCAUGGGCAGGUUGAAGGUUGGGUAACACUAACUGGAGGACCGAACCGACUAAUGUUGAAAAAUUAGCGGAUGACUUGUGGCUGGGGGUGAAAGGCCAAUCAAACCGGGAGAUAGCUGGUUCUCCCCGAAAGCUAUUUAGGUAGCGCCUCGUGAAUUCAUCUCCGGGGGUAGAGCACUGUUUCGGCAAGGGGGUCAUCCCGACUUACCAACCCGAUGCAAACUGCGAAUACCGGAGAAUGUUAUCACGGGAGACACACGGCGGGUGCUAACGUCCGUCGUGAAGAGGGAAACAACCCAGACCGCCAGCUAAGGUCCCAAAGUCAUGGUUAAGUGGGAAACGAUGUGGGAAGGCCCAGACAGCCAGGAUGUUGGCUUAGAAGCAGCCAUCAUUUAAAGAAAGCGUAAUAGCUCACUGGUCGAGUCGGCCUGCGCGGAAGAUGUAACGGGGCUAAACCAUGCACCGAAGCUGCGGCAGCGACGCUUAUGCGUUGUUGGGUAGGGGAGCGUUCUGUAAGCCUGCGAAGGUGUGCUGUGAGGCAUGCUGGAGGUAUCAGAAGUGCGAAUGCUGACAUAAGUAACGAUAAAGCGGGUGAAAAGCCCGCUCGCCGGAAGACCAAGGGUUCCUGUCCAACGUUAAUCGGGGCAGGGUGAGUCGACCCCUAAGGCGAGGCCGAAAGGCGUAGUCGAUGGGAAACAGGUUAAUAUUCCUGUACUUGGUGUUACUGCGAAGGGGGGACGGAGAAGGCUAUGUUGGCCGGGCGACGGUUGUCCCGGUUUAAGCGUGUAGGCUGGUUUUCCAGGCAAAUCCGGAAAACUAAGGCUGAGGCGUGAUGACGAGGCACUACGGUGCUGAAGCAACAAAUGCCCUGCUUCCAGGAAAAGCCUCUAAGCAUCAGGUAACAUCAAAUCGUACCCCAAACCGACACAGGUGGUCAGGUAGAGAAUACCAAGGCGCUUGAGAGAACUCGGGUGAAGGAACUAGGCAAAAUGGUGCCGUAACUUCGGGAGAAGGCACGCUGAUAUGUAGGUGAAGUCCCUCGCGGAUGGAGCUGAAAUCAGUCGAAGAUACCAGCUGGCUGCAACUGUUUAUUAAAAACACAGCACUGUGCAAACACGAAAGUGGACGUAUACGGUGUGACGCCUGCCCGGUGCCGGAAGGUUAAUUGAUGGGGUUAGCGCAAGCGAAGCUCUUGAUCGAAGCCCCGGUAAACGGCGGCCGUAACUAUAACGGUCCUAAGGUAGCGAAAUUCCUUGUCGGGUAAGUUCCGACCUGCACGAAUGGCGUAAUGAUGGCCAGGCUGUCUCCACCCGAGACUCAGUGAAAUUGAACUCGCUGUGAAGAUGCAGUGUACCCGCGGCAAGACGGAAAGACCCCGUGAACCUUUACUAUAGCUUGACACUGAACAUUGAGCCUUGAUGUGUAGGAUAGGUGGGAGGCUUGGAAGUGUGGACGCCAGUCUGCAUGGAGCCGACCUUGAAAUACCACCCUUUAAUGUUUGAUGUUCUAACGUUGACCCGUAAUCCGGGUUGCGGACAGUGUCUGGUGGGUAGUUUGACUGGGGCGGUCUCCUCCUAAAGAGUAACGGAGGAGCACGAAGGUUGGCUAAUCCUGGUCGGACAUCAGGAGGUUAGUGCAAUGGCAUAAGCCAGCUUGACUGCGAGCGUGACGGCGCGAGCAGGUGCGAAAGCAGGUCAUAGUGAUCCGGUGGUUCUGAAUGGAAGGGCCAUCGCUCAACGGAUAAAAGGUACUCCGGGGAUAACAGGCUGAUACCGCCCAAGAGUUCAUAUCGACGGCGGUGUUUGGCACCUCGAUGUCGGCUCAUCACAUCCUGGGGCUGAAGUAGGUCCCAAGGGUAUGGCUGUUCGCCAUUUAAAGUGGUACGCGAGCUGGGUUUAGAACGUCGUGAGACAGUUCGGUCCCUAUCUGCCGUGGGCGCUGGAGAACUGAGGGGGGCUGCUCCUAGUACGAGAGGACCGGAGUGGACGCAUCACUGGUGUUCGGGUUGUCAUGCCAAUGGCACUGCCCGGUAGCUAAAUGCGGAAGAGAUAAGUGCUGAAAGCAUCUAAGCACGAAACUUGCCCCGAGAUGAGUUCUCCCUGACUCCUUGAGAGUCCUGAAGGAACGUUGAAGACGACGACGUUGAUAGGCCGGGUGUGUAAGCGCAGCGAUGCGUUGAGCUAACCGGUACUAAUGAACCGUGAGGCUUAACCUU